UGUGUUGUUCUGCCUGUUUUUUUGAGCUACCUCAAUGGAGGCCCCGUGUGGAAAUGUGUAGCUUAAAAAACAGCACACUCUUCGUAUUUCACAGCCCAAACCACAGUUUCAACAGAGGUUCAUCUUCCUGCUGGAAACCUGCAGCCAUCUUCAAUACUCAGAGGACAGCUGAAUAGAGACAGGAAAUGUUGGGAGUAGUGAGAGUGGGACGACGACUAUAGCAUCUGAACAUGGGUCGCACAAAAUAUCCACUAGACUAUUCGACACCUGUGUACCAGCUUUGUGAUGCAGAUUGGAGAAACGAGAACAGAGGGUGCAGAUGUGCCCAACUCGGCAUGCCGUGUUUGAGCCGUUAUGGAGGUCAGUGCCGUAGAAGAAGAAGAAGACGGUCUUCUUUGUCUUUUGUGAGGCGGCUGCAGAAAUGUCAC
Long non-coding RNA from Labrus bergylta (ballan wrasse), 428 nucleotides. RefSeq lists it as uncharacterized. The record is from RefSeq and is a predicted model, not a curated record. NCBI's taxonomy places the organism in Eukaryota, Metazoa, Chordata, Actinopteri, Labriformes, Labridae.